Myotis lucifugus (little brown bat) is the source of this 4731-nucleotide RNA transcript. It is a transcript of the gene named ubiquitin specific peptidase 46, with no coding region annotated. The transcript has 11 exons. Lineage: Eukaryota; Metazoa; Chordata; Mammalia; Chiroptera; Vespertilionidae. The record is from RefSeq and is a predicted model, not a curated record.
ACCCGUGCUCUUUCAAUGCCAGGUUGGGGGGAACCUCCCUUGUAGCUAGUAGUACAGGCCCCUAAGGGAAUCUGAGGAGGCUUGAUGGAGAAGUCUGGAGGUAAGGUGAUCUGACUGCCCUUCCCCCAUCACACAGCCUUUUCAAUCUUCUGUCCCACAUUUCGUUGCAAGAUUAACACAUGGCAAAGGAGCAUUAAGGAGCCAUGUGGCAGCUCAGGAGUGGAAUUGAGACCCGCUGGUGCUGGCUUCAGUUUUCAGCACUGUUGGAUGUGGUCACUGCCCUGGUCAGCAGAACAAACGCCGGGGCUUCCCGGGGUGAUAGCUCCUAGGGGAUUGGCGCAGGGCCCGUUGGAGGAGGUGGGUGGCUCCUGGAGCGUCUCAGUGUCCUCUCCUUUCCUUCCUUCUUCACGCAGAGACGGCCUCCCGCUCCUUCCUGUCGAGUGGCAUUAGUGUUGCUCGGUGCAGCGAAGAGGGGAUGCCAGUCCGCCCAGUGUCUCUGUAAGCCAAGCUGAGCUCCGAGGGGACCUUUGAAACCAGAGCAGCUGACCAGUACUCUUCUUUCAGGCUUGCUGGGGUGGCCUCAGGCCUACGGGGCAGCGAGGUGCCGUCCCAGCCCUGGGUGGUACUCCUGUCCUGCUGGUGUGUGGUGACACCUCUCUGAACUAAAGCAGCUUGUGAACUUGAGAGCUAGUGUGUCCCAAGAGGAAGCCAGCCUCCAGCUUUUUUUUUUUUUUUUCCACCCUCAGCGCAGCUGGGGCUUCUUGGCACUCCCGGGCGGAAUGUCACUACCUGUUUCCAGUGAAACUCAGCCAGGGAGGCGGGCUGCAGGGAGGGCAUGACAGGAGCAGGCUAGAGCUGUGUCUGGAGAGUUGACAACCUCGUGUGGAAUCUUUAAAGAGGCACCACCUUCGGGGUCAUCGCCCCGGUGAGGUGUUCAAAGGACAAAGGAGAUUAUGCCUUCUUGGACCUGAUAGAAAGAAGCCACUGAUGUAAACAGCUCACGUGUUCAUUUAUGUAAUCCAAGCCGAAUGGCAGUAUCCGAGGGCUGGGAUGGGAAUCCUUAACCCCGCCCCUUAUAAAAGGCUGCUCGGGCCACCCUGUCCCUCCCAGCCUCACUUCCCACACGAGAAGGCUUGGUGCUGAGGAGACGGCUGUCUCCGCCUGAUCUGACAUACAUUUUCAUUGGACUCCUCUUUAGAUUCUGCACGCGAUGAUGAAUUGCUUCCAGCAGAGCUCUCGGUGUUUUCUCUUGCAGGGCACCAAUGCCUCUGCUCUGGAAAAAGACAUCGGCCCAGAGCAGUUUCCCGUCAAUGAGCACUACUUCGGAUUGGUCAAUUUCGGGAACACGUGCUACUGUAACUCUGUGCUUCAGGCCUUGUACUUCUGCCGGCCUUUCCGUGAGAAUGUGCUGGCAUACAAGGCCCAGCAAAAAAAGAAGGAAAACUUGUUGACGUGCCUGGCAGACCUUUUCCACAGCAUUGCCACGCAGAAGAAGAAGGUUGGCGUGAUCCCACCAAAGAAGUUCAUUUCAAGGCUGAGAAAAGAGAAUGAUCUCUUUGAUAACUACAUGCAGCAGGAUGCUCACGAAUUUUUAAACUAUUUGCUAAACACUAUUGCGGACAUCCUGCAGGAAGAGAAGAAACAGGAGAAACAAAAUGGGAAAUUAAAAAAUGGCAACAUGAACGAACCUGCAGAGAACAACAAACCAGAACUCACCUGGGUCCAUGAGAUUUUUCAGGGAACGCUCACCAAUGAAACUCGAUGCUUGAACUGUGAAACUGUUAGUAGCAAAGAUGAAGAUUUUCUUGAUCUUUCUGUCGAUGUGGAGCAGAAUACAUCCAUUACCCACUGCCUAAGAGACUUCAGCAACACAGAAACACUGUGUAGUGAACAGAAAUAUUAUUGUGAAACGUGCUGCAGCAAACAGGAGGCCCAGAAAAGGAUGCGAGUGAAAAAGCUGCCCAUGAUUUUGGCCCUGCACCUGAAGCGGUUCAAGUACAUGGAGCAGCUGCACAGGUACACCAAGCUCUCCUACCGCGUGGUCUUCCCGCUGGAGCUGCGGCUCUUCAACACCUCCAGCGACGCUGUGAACCUGGACCGCAUGUAUGACCUGGUGGCCGUGGUGGUGCACUGUGGCAGUGGUCCUAAUCGUGGGCAUUAUAUCACUAUUGUGAAAAGUCACGGCUUCUGGCUUUUGUUUGAUGACGACAUCGUAGAGAAAAUUGAUGCCCAAGCUAUUGAAGAAUUCUAUGGCCUGACGUCAGAUAUAUCAAAAAAUUCAGAAUCUGGAUAUAUUUUAUUCUAUCAGUCACGAGAAUAACUUAAAGGACCGUGGGACUAACUCAAGAGGGGGAGUGUUCAAGCACUGUUACUGGGUUCUCUGCGGACUUGCUUCUCCCCGUGGACCACCAAUGUAUUACUCCGAGUCUCAAUGAUCUGGCUGUGUUAAUCUCUCUCUCUCUCUCUCUCUCUCUCUCUCUCUCUCUCUCUCUCUGUUUUUUUUCUACAUGCAGCACUAUUCGUGGUCUUAUUUUAGUCUGAGGUAGAAGUUAACUGCAAUCAGAUUGUAGUAAGAUUUAUAUGAAUAACAGUUGCUAAUUUUAGGGUCGGGUAAACAUUAUGCCACUGGCUGUCUCUGGCUGGAUUAGAAUGACAUGUCCUAGAAUGUCUGCAGUCCGUGUGGAGUCUUUGCUGAGCUUCCUAAGUGGUUUCCAGGGACUCCUUUCAAUGCAUUCCUUUACCGGGUCCCUGGAAACGUUGCUACCCAUGUUUAGCUUCUCUGCCUCGAAGGACAGAAUUGGGUAGAUGUUCACCUUUAGGGCUGCAACUAUAGCUUUAAGUGUGUGCAGGUGAAAUUGUUUAAAAGUGAGUAACCUCAGAUACUAAAACCAUCCUCCAGGUGGGACAGGGUGAAGAGCUGUUCAAGGUGCCAGUGUGUGCCCAGGCUGUGCUCACCUCGAGCCAGAAUUCCCCUGGGGCAAAGAGGGUGGGGAGCUCAGAGCAGGCAAAGCCAGGAGGAGGAAGCUUUCACGGGGAGAGAAAAGUUACUUAUCUUUCUACCAAAACCACGUUCAGGAAAAUAACUCUCUGCUGUGUGUUCUUAGUGCCACUUCCUUCCGCAAGGUCCCGUGCGUCUCUCUCUCCUCUAUCUGGCACUGCUAAGCAUCCAGGGCACCUUUCCAGGCCUGGUGCUGGCCUUUCGCAGUCCGUGGUCACAGGGCUGGGACCCCGGUGGCUGCCUCCAGCGCAGCUCUCCUGAGCAGUCAGACCAGCAUCAUUCUGUGCCCGGGAGAACGAGGGCACUGCCCCGUUAGGACCAGCUGCGCGCUGGGCCGCUGUUCACUUUGAGGCAUCUCAGCCUGCUCGCUGAGGCGGCGGCAGCCCAGGCCAACGUGGCACCUUCCCUGGAGGGAAGACUGGAGUUAACUGGCGUGAAGUGAUCACUUACCGGGAAGGUGAGUUUUUAUUCUGUUAUUAAGGAGAGAUACUUUCCAAUUGAAGGUGAUUGCUGUAGGGAACUGUUUGUACUAUAUAUAACCCAUAUAUUUGACUGCAGGUUGCAAAGCUUAAGAAAAUGAUGGUUGAUAUCUAAUAUAUUUGGAACUGAUUCAUAAGAAAAACUAUUAAAAUUAUCUUUGAAAUGACUCUUGAAGCUAAUUUAUUAGAAAAAAAAUGUUUCAUUUAGAAGCCUGUGUAAGUAAUAUCUAAAUGCAAAGUCAUAGAUUCAGGAUGCCUUUUUUUUUUAUAAAGAGUUUUUUGUUUUUUUCCAGUGACUUAACUGAAGUAAUUCCUUUUACUAGAAAGUGUCAGUUAAAAUUCAGUUUUCAUGGAUAGAUUUUUGGAAUAAAAAAAACAAGAAUGGGGGAUGAUGCAAAGACAUGGAAAUGGUCGUGUGAUGCAGGAAAAGAUUGGGAAAAUGCACUUAUCCUCCAGCACUCCGUCGGGUUUUUAAACUUUAGAGCUAUCGGGUAAUUUCUCCCUUCUCUUCAAUUAAUGAAACAGACACUAGGCAGCUACUUCCCCCCGGGUCAUUUCACGUUCUGUAAAGACAGCAGCAUGCACACACUUUUAUUUUUCAUCCCUCAUUCAUCCCCCAGAGCAGAGAUUGGUGUGGGAAACGCCGGACCAUUCGGAGGCCAAGGAUAGCACAAGGCUCAGCAGUGCCCCUGGCGUGGCCAGGGUUUUUACGAGUCGUUUUCGGGAGGAAGGCCUGCUGUAUUUUUUUUUCAACUGCUGGGUGUUUUAAAAUGAGUUACCAUGUUUUACACUUGACACGAGAAGAAAUACUUGCUUUAUUGGCUACUUACUAGUUUAGCAUCUAGAUUAUGGUGCAGUAUGCCGAAAAGGUAAAUUCUGGUAAAAUGCUGACAUUAGUCCUGGAUGUCGAUGCGUUUUCCAUUCUGAGGCUGCACCAAGUGGCCUGGUCUGAGGCAGCCAAGGAACAACACAAGAGGGUGCUGGUCGGAAUAGGAAGCCGGUUGGUUGUGUAGCUGGUAUAUUUUGGAUGUCAGAUGAAGUGGGGAAAGAAAUGGCAGAAAUGGUCCCCAGGCGUUUAUUUCCUGGGUACCCCUAAUUUCAUGGGCAUGCCUAACAAUGAACUAUGCUCUAACUGGAGCUUAGGGCUUAUUUUCGAUAUUGGAGUGUAGCUUUAUUACAGAUGGACUUUAUCUUUAAACAUUGCAUUUUGAUCAACUUUGUAUAGUCCCGUGUAUUAAAAUACUGUGCACUAAA